Molecule: ribosomal RNA, 465 nt
Filed under: uncultured bacterium
Lineage: Bacteria
Description: partial 16S ribosomal RNA
Rfam family: Bacterial small subunit ribosomal RNA
Source: RNAcentral
GACGAACGCUGGCGGCGUGCUUAACACAUGCAAGUCGUACGGUAAGGCCCUUUCGGGGGUACACGAGUGGCGCACGGGUGAGUAACACGUGAGUAACCUGCCCACAACUUUGGGAUAACGCUAGGAAACUGGUGCUAAUACUGGAUAUGUGCUUCUGCUGCAUGGUGGGGGUUGGAAAGCUCCGGCGGUUGUGGAUGGACUCGCGGCCUAUCAGCUUGUUGGUGGGGUAGUGGCCUACCAAGGCGGCGACGGGUAGCCGGCCUGAGAGGGUGACCGGCCACAUUGGGACUGAGAUACGGCCCAGACUCCUACGGGAGGCAGCAGGGGGGAAUAUUGCACAAGGGGCGCAAGCCGGAUGCAGCAACGCCGCGUGCGGGAUAACGGCCUUCGGGUUGUAAACCGCCUUCAGCAGGGACGAAGCUUUUUGUGACGGUACCUGCAGAAGAAGCACCGGCUAACUACGUG